CACGUAGGAACCAAGCGUUGUCCGGAUUUAUUGGGCGUAAAGAGCUCGUAGGCGGUUCGGUAAGUCGGAUGUGAAAACUUUGGGCUCAACCCAAAGCGUGCAUUCGAUACUGCCAUGACUAGAGUUCGGUAGGGGAGUGGGGAAUUCCUAGUGUAGCGGUGAAAUGCGCAGAUAUUAGGAGGAACACCGGUGGCGAAGGCGCCACUCUGGGCCGAAACUGACGCUGAGGAGCGAAAGCGUGGGUAGCAAACAGG
RNAcentral lists this ribosomal RNA (254 nucleotides) under uncultured bacterium. Its description in RNAcentral is "partial 16S ribosomal RNA". It matches the Rfam family "Bacterial small subunit ribosomal RNA", at positions 524 to 776 of the family's 1533-position model. The record is from RNAcentral.